UACGAAGGGGGCGAGCGUUGUUCGGAUUUACUGGGCGUAAAGGGCGCGCAGGCGGCUCAUUUUGUCAGGCGUGAAAGCCCCGGGCUUAACCUGGGAACUGCGUUUGAUACGGAUGGGCUAGAGUUCGGGAGAGGAGAGUGGAAUUCCCAGUGUAGAGGUGAAAUUCGUAGAUAUUGGGAAGAACACCGGUGGCGAAGGCGGCUCUCUGGACCGAGACUGACGCUGAGGCGCGAAAGCGUGGGGAGCAAACAGGG
Molecule: ribosomal RNA, 254 nt
Filed under: uncultured bacterium
Lineage: Bacteria
Description: partial 16S ribosomal RNA
Rfam family: Bacterial small subunit ribosomal RNA
Source: RNAcentral